CUCGUACCCUCUCUUCUCCUCUCUCUCUCUCCAACCUUUCUGCAAAAACCUUAUCUGCAACCAAACCAAACCAAACCCAACAAUGUCUUCCUCUGCCUCUUCUCUCCACUUUCUCUCUCUAUCUCCUCACUCUCUCUCUCUCUCCAACUCCAAACCCACCGCCCCCUCUUCUCUCUCUCUCUCCUCUCCCCUCAAAACCCCAAUCAAAUCAUCCACCUCCAUCUUCUCUGCCAGGCCCUUCGAUUUCUCGCCCUCUCGGUUUGUCGUUCGAAACGUCGCGGUUUCGUCCGAGUUCGAGCAGGAAGAGGAGGUCUUGAGCGAUGCAGAGGAACCCAGUUUCUCUCCUGACCUCAAGGUCUUCGUUGGGAACUUGCCUUUCAACGUCGACAGCGCAACUCUCGCUGAGUUGUUCGAGCGAGCUGGGAAUGUCGAGAUGGUUGAGGUUAUAUAUGACAAGAUAACUGGAAGGAGCCGAGGGUUCGGUUUUGUGACAAUGUCUUCGGCUGAGGGGGUUGAGGCAGCAGUUCAGCAAUUUAAUGGCUAUGAACUGGAAGGCAGGGCAUUGAGGGUGAAUUCUGGUCCUCCUCCUCCGAAAGGAGAUUCUCCUUUCAGAGAGCCCAGGGCUGGUGGGGCAAGUUUUGAUAACACCAAUAGGGUUUAUGUGGGCAAUCUUGCAUGGGGUGUUGAUGAGUCAGCACUUGCAACCUUGUUUAGUGAGCAAGGAAAGGUUAUAGAAGCUAAGGUUGUUUAUGACAGAGAUAGCGGCAGAUCAAGGGGUUUUGGGUUUGUAACCUACAGUUCUGCAGAUGAGGUCAACAAUGCAAUUGAAUCAUUGGAUGGUGUUGACCUAGAUGGCAGGCCAAUCCGAGUAAGCAUUGCUGAAGGCAGGCCAAGGCGUCAAUUUUGAUCAUUGAAUCUUUUGAGCUUUUUUCAACUAAGAACACACCUUGGGGAAAACAAAAGCCGGCAGAAAACAAGCUUAUUGGGGUGAAAAAUAUUUCCACUUUUGAAAGGUUUCUCGGGAGGGCGAUGCAGCUGCAGUCUUUUGUUGUUUCACUAAAUUUUGAAGAAUAUACUCCUUUCGACUAAGUAACUUUGUAUUUGAUCUCUGCAUCCUGACAAACGGGGCCUCAUAACUGUGUUGAAUCUUUCAGUGCAUAUUUUCUGAAAUGCUAUGCUUUGGACAAGAUAUUGAUUGUAAUUCUUCUCUUAUAGCUUUUGAUGGAAUAGGUACAUACAUGAAUUGUUGUUUUUGUUA
Camellia sinensis is the source of this 1258-nucleotide RNA transcript. It is a transcript of the gene named 29 kDa ribonucleoprotein A, chloroplastic, with no coding region annotated. The record is from RefSeq and is a predicted model, not a curated record. NCBI's taxonomy places the organism in Eukaryota, Viridiplantae, Streptophyta, Magnoliopsida, Ericales, Theaceae.